GACGGAGGAGCCAGCAAUCGGAGGCGAGCUUGGAACCGGAGGCGAGCGAGCACGUCGUCAGAGGAGGUUGGCAGUCGGCGGAGGUUGCAGUCGGCGGCGCUUGGAAACUUCAAUCAGAACAGACGCGUUCUGUUCUGAUUUGGGGUUUUUAAUAAACCCCAAAACUUACAUGGCGGAUUUCCGCCAUGUAAGUACACUUAAGUGCCGCCAUGUAAGGUGGAAAAGUCCGCCCAAUCGAAAUUUGGGCGGGCUUUUUCCGCCCGAGUCCCCGAAUACUUAA
This 280-nucleotide long non-coding RNA is filed under the name Zostera marina. RNAcentral describes it as "long non-coding RNA (ZMAR_LNC002213)". Lineage: Eukaryota; Viridiplantae; Streptophyta; Magnoliopsida; Alismatales; Zosteraceae. The record is from RNAcentral.